GGGCUCGUGGCGCAGACAGGUAGCGCAGCAGGCUUUUAACCUGAUGGCCGCGGGUUCGAAUCCCGCCGAGCCCGCCA
Molecule: transfer RNA, 77 nt
Filed under: Candidatus Thorarchaeota archaeon
Lineage: Archaea; Promethearchaeati; Candidatus Thorarchaeota
Also listed under: 1 other name
Description: tRNA-Lys
Rfam family: tRNA
About the family: Transfer RNA (tRNA) molecules are approximately 80 nucleotides in length. Their secondary structure includes four short double-helical elements and three loops (D, anti-codon, and T loops).
Source: RNAcentral